This 497-nucleotide ribosomal RNA is filed under the name uncultured bacterium. RNAcentral's name for it is "partial 16S ribosomal RNA". It matches the Rfam family "Bacterial small subunit ribosomal RNA", at positions 28 to 507 of the family's 1533-position model. The record is from RNAcentral.
GAUGAACGCUGGCGGCGUGCCUAAUACAUGCAAGUCGAGCGAACAGAUGAGGAGCUUGCUCCUCUGACGUUAGCGGCGGACGGGAGAGUAACACGUGGAUAACCUACCUAUAAGACUGGGAUAACUUCGGGAAACAGGAGCUAAUACCGGAUAAUAUAUUGAACCGCAGGGUUCAAUAGUGAAAGACGGUUUUGCUGUCACUUAUAGAUGGAUCCGCGCCGCAUUAGCUAGUUGGUAAGGUAACGGCUUACCAAGGCAACGAUGCGUAGCCGACCUGAGAGGGUGAUCGGCCACACUGGAACUGAGACACGGUCCAGACUCCUACGGGAGGCAGCAGUAGGGAAUCUUGCGCAAUGGGCGAAAGCCUGACGGAGCAACGCCGCGUGAGUGAUGAAGGUCUUCGGAUCGUAAAACUCUUUUGUUAGGGAAGAACAAAUGUGUAAGUAACUAUGCACGUCUUGACGGUACCUAAUCAGAAAGCCACGGCUAACUACGUG